ACCCCCGUAGUGUAGCGGUCAAUCAUGCCGGAUUUUGGAUCCGGCGACACCAGUCCGAAUCUGGUCGGGGGUA
RNAcentral lists this transfer RNA (73 nucleotides) under Methanoregula sp. Its description in RNAcentral is "tRNA-Gln". It matches the Rfam family "tRNA". Rfam says of the family: Transfer RNA (tRNA) molecules are approximately 80 nucleotides in length. Their secondary structure includes four short double-helical elements and three loops (D, anti-codon, and T loops). Further hydrogen bonds mediate the characteristic L-shaped molecular structure. tRNAs have two regions of fundamental functional importance: the anti-codon, which is responsible for specific mRNA codon recognition, and the 3' end, to which the tRNAs corresponding amino acid is attached (by aminoacyl-tRNA synthetases). tRNAs cope with the degeneracy of the genetic code in two manners: having more than one tRNA (with a specific anti-codon) for a particular amino acid; and 'wobble' base-pairing, i.e. permitting non-standard base-pairing at the 3rd anti-codon position. Lineage: Archaea; Methanobacteriati; Methanobacteriota; Methanomicrobia; Methanomicrobiales; Methanoregulaceae. The record is from RNAcentral.